GGCCUCCCUCUUUGGGGUGAUCGAUCGCGGGGCUCCGCGACUGAUUGCCCCAAAGGGGUAGGCC
This 64-nucleotide microRNA precursor is filed under the name Myotis brandtii (Brandt's bat). RNAcentral describes it as "mir-9242 microRNA precursor family". It matches the Rfam family "mir-9242 microRNA precursor family". The record is from Rfam by way of RNAcentral. Lineage: Eukaryota; Metazoa; Chordata; Mammalia; Chiroptera; Vespertilionidae.